AUUGAACGCUGGCGGCAGGCCUAACACAUGCAAGUCGAACGGUAACAGGAAACAGCUUGCUGUUUCGCUGACGAGUGGCGGACGGGUGAGUAAUGUCUGGGAAACUGCCUGAUGGAGGGGGAUAACUACUGGAAACGGUAGCUAAUACCGCAUAACGUCGCAAGACCAAAGAGGGGGACCCUCGGGCCUCUUGCCAUCGGAUGUGCCCAGAUGGGAUUAGCUUGUUGGUGGGGUAACGGCUCACCAAGGCGACGAUCCCUAGCUGGUCUGAGAGGAUGACCAGCCACACUGGAACUGAGACACGGUCCAGACUCCUACGGGAGGCAGCAGUGGGGAAUAUUGCACAAUGGGCGCAAGCCUGAUGCAGCCAUGCCGCGUGUAUGAAGAAGGCCUUCGGGUUGUAAAGUACUUUCAGCGGGGAGGAAGGGAGUAAAGUUAAUACCUUUGCUCAUUGACGUUACCCGCAGAAGAAGCACCGGCUAACUCCGUGCCAGCAGCCGCGGUAAUACGGAGGGUGCAAGCGUUAAUCGGAAUUACUGGGCGUAAAGCGCACGCAGGCGGUUUGUUAAGUCAGAUGUGAAAUCCCCGGGCUCAACCUGGGAACUGCAUCUGAUACUGGCAAGCUUGAGUCUCGUAGAGGGGGGGUAGAAUUCCAGGUGUAGCGGUGAAAUGCGUAGAGAUCUGGUAGAAUACCCGUGGCGAAGCGGCCCCCCUGGACAAGAAAACGCUAGGUGCAAGAACGGGAGAAAUAUCGCAUUUAAUACCCAGGUAAUUUAAGGGGAAUUCUUUUUGUAUACAGGCGGAUCGCACCGGCGUGUUGGGGUGUUGUUUUUUUACUAUCUUUUUGAGUAAGGGUGGUGUAUUUAUGGGGGGGGGGUGGGGUGUAGGACUGAUAA
RNAcentral lists this ribosomal RNA (896 nucleotides) under uncultured Streptococcus sp. RNAcentral's name for it is "partial 16S ribosomal RNA". It matches the Rfam family "Bacterial small subunit ribosomal RNA". Lineage: Bacteria; Bacillati; Bacillota; Bacilli; Lactobacillales; Streptococcaceae. The record is from RNAcentral.